This 243-nucleotide long non-coding RNA is filed under the name Anser brachyrhynchus (Pink-footed goose). RNAcentral's name for it is "lncRNA (ENSABRG00000022378.1)". The record is from RNAcentral. Lineage: Eukaryota; Metazoa; Chordata; Aves; Anseriformes; Anatidae.
CCCAUUCUUAAAAAGAAAUGAUACAGCACUGAAUCAGAUUAAUCCACACAGGUCUGAUGAAUUAAUUAGAUUAGGUGAAUGUUCAGUAAUGCUCUUCAAAUGUUUACCCUCUUUCAGGAAUAUUUGCAGAAGUGGAAGAAAAAUUGUUUUCUAUUCAAGAGUAUUGUGGGUCAAGGAUCAGUGAAGAGGAGUACACUUGCAAGUGAUCAUUUCAAAGAAAGAAGAAAAACUCUGUUCCCCUGA